RNAcentral lists this unclassified non-coding RNA (226 nucleotides) under Ascomycota sp. Its description in RNAcentral is "partial contains small subunit ribosomal RNA, internal transcribed spacer 1, and 5.8S ribosomal RNA". The stretch from base 1 to 47 matches the Rfam family "Eukaryotic small subunit ribosomal RNA", at positions 1785 to 1831 of the family's 1831-position model. Lineage: Eukaryota; Fungi; Ascomycota. The record is from RNAcentral.
AAAGUCGUAACAAGGUUUCCGUAGGUGAACCUGCGGAAGGAUCAUUAACGUAUUUGUCGAGGGUUAGCCUAGCUAAUCUGUCACCGACAUUACCCCUGUUUUUGUGCACCUUUGUUUCCUUGACAGGCUCGCCUGUCAAAAGGAUUAUUUUAACCCACUUGUAAUAGUAAUUUGCGUCAGAAAAACUAAAUAUUUACAACUUUCAACAACGGAUCUCUUGGUUCUG